GAGGAAUAUUGGUCAAUGGGCGAGAGCCUGAACCAGCCAAGUAGCGUGCAGGAAGACGGCCCUAUGGGUUGUAAACUGCUUUUAUGUGGGGAUAAAGUGAGCUACGUGUAGUUUAUUGCAGGUACCACAUGAAUAAGGACCGGCUAAUUCCGUGCCAGCAGCCGCGGUAAUACGGAAGGUCCAGGCGUUAUCCGGAUUUAUUGGGUUUAAAGGGAGCGUAGGCCGUGGAUUAAGCGUGUUGUGAAAUGUAGACGCUCAACGUCUGAAUUGCAGCGCGAACUGGUUCACUUGAGUAUGCACAACGUAGGCGGAAUUCGUCGUGUAGCGGUGAAAUGCUUAGAUAUGACGAAGAACUCCGAUUGUGAAGGCAGCUUACGGGAGCACAACUGACGCUGAAGCUCGAAGGUGCGGGUAUCAAACAGGAUUAGAUACCCUGGUAGUCCGCACAGUAAACGAUGGAUGCCCGUUGUUAGUUCACUUAAGAAUUAGCGACCAAGCGAAAGCAUUAAGCAUCCCACCUGGGGAGUACGCCGGCAACGGUG
This 542-nucleotide ribosomal RNA is filed under the name uncultured bacterium. Its description in RNAcentral is "bacterial SSU rRNA". It matches the Rfam family "Bacterial small subunit ribosomal RNA", at positions 356 to 896 of the family's 1533-position model. The record is from RNAcentral.